CCUGCCCAAGAGAUCGGGAUAACACCUGGAAACAGAUGCUAAUACCGGAUAACGACAGAUGAUGCCUAUCAACUGUUUAAAAGAUGGUUCUGCUAUCACUCUUGGAUGGACCUGCGGUGCAUUAGCUAGUUGGUAGGGUAACGGCCUACCAAGGCGAUGAUGCAUAGCCGAGUUGAGAGACUGAUCGGCCACAUUGGGACUGAGACACGGCCCAAACUCCUACGGGAGGCAGCAGCA
RNAcentral lists this ribosomal RNA (237 nucleotides) under uncultured Lactobacillus sp. Its description in RNAcentral is "partial 16S ribosomal RNA". It matches the Rfam family "Bacterial small subunit ribosomal RNA", at positions 125 to 355 of the family's 1533-position model. The record is from RNAcentral. Lineage: Bacteria; Bacillati; Bacillota; Bacilli; Lactobacillales; Lactobacillaceae.